AGAAUUCAAUUAUGGUGAAAUCUGUCCUAUAUAAGGACAUGAGAACAAUUGAAAAAUUCAGAAAAAAUUCCUUUCCUCUGUUUAUUCCCUCACGCUCUUUCUGCUCAUCUUAUACUUCCAAUAGCAUUUUCUUUCCGAGUUCGAAAAACACAUACCUCAAAGAUUAUGGAAGAAACCCUAAUGCAAACAUAGCUUCAACAUCUUGAUCGCGAUACUCUUUCAUUUGCUACGUGAUACAGUUGCCAUUCCGCUUCAUCACGAGGUUUUGUAAGUAGUUUAUGUUUAUGCAAGAUGCGGGUGCCUUUGUUAGAUUGCAUAUCGGAGUUUUAUCAUCACCAGUUUCGAUCUGGUAGUAACUGCGUGCAGAGAGAAAGUAGUGAGGUUAUUGAAAAUGGAUAAACAUUUAUCCAUUAUCAAUAACCUUAAGGAAAGCUUGACACUAGAAGUUGACAUUUUACAAAUAUCAGAUGAUAAGUCUACAACAAAAGCUUAACAAAGACUUUUGCUCUUUCAGUGUUUAGCUUGGAUUUGUUUGAUUGACUCGUAAUGCACUAACUUUAUAGCAUGGUUGUAUGUUCAUCUUUGCAUAAUUGACUUAAGAGUGUUUUUAUGCGAUAGACUAUACAAGAGUUUUUAUCUUCUUUUGAAAUUUCCUUUCACGGUCACUCUAGAAAUAAAAAAUUUAUGAGUUAUAGUUUGACUAGCGUGUCGACACUGAAAAAUCAGUCACAUAGUAAUGAUAUACAAGCUUCAAGAUAUUUUCAGUUACAUCUUUUUACUUGCAUUCUUUAAUUAAUUUUUAGAAAAUGUCUCGCUUAAAUCUUAAAUGUACUAAGUGUGACCAAAUGAGAUUUUCCGCAUUCACAUUCCAUCUAUUCUCAUAGCGUCUUCAUAAUAGCCUAACUAAAAUUCUUGACAAAUUUAUUUUAUUUAUAGAGUUAUCUUUAAGUAAAUUUCAAUUGAAGAUAAAGACUCUUAAGUUUUUUACGCAAAAAUAGUUGAUGUUAAUUAUGCAAAACCUGAAUGUACAACUCAACUAUUGAGUGACGUGCAAGAACCUUCAAAGCCAACCAAGCCCAUCCAAGCUAAACACUGAAGCAACAAAAAAUCUUUUUUAUUCUUUCGUUUGUAGAUUUAGCAUAUGAUUUUGUGAAAUGUCAACUUCUAGUGCUAAGUUCAUGCUGAGGAUCGAAAUUCUACCUCUUAGGAAAUUGCUAAUUAGCAUGUUGUGAGAAACAUGGUUAUAAUAUCAACUUCAUCAGAUUGUUGCAUGCCUUGAAGCGUGCAAAUAACUUCAUCAAAUUAGAGCUUUGCCUAAAAAUCUUCUAUCAAUUAUUGUUGAGAAAGCAGAGGUGGAGGAAUCUGAAGCAAGCAAGAGUUUUGUUGAAUUACUGCCUUGACACAGCUCUAUAAUCAUGUCACCGAUAUCAGUUAGAGAUUUGAGUCAUUGCCCAAAGCGUUCAGCUUGUAAAAGAUGCAUUUGGAUCAUUGCAAGGGAAUGGAAUUCACACAUUCAAGAUGUUAUGAAUGCCUAGUAAUUACUAACUAAUCAUGGUUAGGAGAAGAGAAAUAUUGACUUGGUAUGUUUUGCUCAUCUGUUGUUUUCUAUGAUUCUUCAAAGGUUUAAUUCACUAACUCCAUUCAAAACAAAAACCUUAAUAGAGCUAGUGGCAAACCAAAUUUUCAUAGAAGAGGUUCUAUCAAUACCAAGAUUUGUCCUUUCUAUGGUAAGCAUGGACAUACUGAUGAUUCAGAUUACUUUAAGCUUGAUUUUCUAUCGGUCGACAAGUUCAAAGACAAAGUCAGUUCUAUCAACAAUGUUGACUCUUAUGAUAUCAAGAACAUGUUUAGAAUCCAACUGAAAAUUAGGUGGAAAACGUAGCAAUUUCUCAUGACAUGUAUCAGAAACUGGCAGUUCUGCCCCUGUAGAUGUCCCUCAACUUGAUUCUUAUAUUAUACAUGUUUCUUCAUCAUGUAGCUAUCAUGCUUAUAUUAAUUUUGCUGAGAUUUUUAUUAACAAAACAUUGAUCAUAGAUAGAUGGGAAACUCAUCACAUUUUCA
Molecule: long non-coding RNA, 2061 nt
Organism: Vicia villosa (hairy vetch)
Lineage: Eukaryota; Viridiplantae; Streptophyta; Magnoliopsida; Fabales; Fabaceae
Exons: 3
Source: RefSeq, a predicted model, not a curated record